GACAGAGGGUGCAAACGUUGUUCGGAAUUACUGGGCGUAAAGCGCGUGUAGGCGGCCAUCUAAGUCGGGCGUGAAAUCCCACGGCUCAACCGUGGAAGUGCACUCGAAACUGGAUGGCUAGAGUCCUGGAGAGGAAGGUGGAAUGCUUGGUGUAGAGGUGAAAUUCGUAGAUAUCAAGCGGAACACCGGUGGCGAAGGCGGCCUUCUGGACAGUGACUGACGCUGAGACGACGAAAGCGUGGGGAGCAAACAGG
This 254-nucleotide ribosomal RNA is filed under the name uncultured bacterium. RNAcentral's name for it is "partial 16S ribosomal RNA". It matches the Rfam family "Bacterial small subunit ribosomal RNA", at positions 524 to 776 of the family's 1533-position model. The record is from RNAcentral.